This 497-nucleotide ribosomal RNA is filed under the name uncultured bacterium. Its description in RNAcentral is "partial 16S ribosomal RNA". It matches the Rfam family "Bacterial small subunit ribosomal RNA", at positions 28 to 507 of the family's 1533-position model. The record is from RNAcentral.
GAUGAACGCUGGCGGCGUGCCUAAUACAUGCAAGUCGAGCGAACAGACGAGGAGCUUGCUCCUCUGACGUUAGCGGCGGACGGGUGAGUAACACGUGUAUAACCUACCUAUAAGACUGGGAUAACUUCGGGAAACCGGAGCUAAUACCGGAUAAUAUCUUGAACCGCAUUGUUCAUUAGUGAAAGUCGGUUUUGCUGUCACUUAUAGAUGGAUCCGCGCCGCAUGAGCUAGUUGGUAAGGUCACGGCUUACCAAGGCAACGAUGCGUAGCCGACCUGAGAGGGUGAUCGGCCGCACGGGAAGGUAGACGCGGUCCAGACUACUACGGGAGGGCGCAGUCGGGAAUCGUACGCAGUGGGCGGGAGCCUGGCGGAACGACGGCGCGUGAGUGGUGAAGGUGUUCGGAGCGGAAAACCGUGUUAUUAGGGAAGAACCAAUGUGUAAGUAGCCAAGGCCGUAGUGACGGUACCUGAUAAGAAAGCCACGGCUAACUACGUG